UACGGAGGAUGCGAGCGUUAUCCGGAUUUAUUGGGUUUAAAGGGUGCGUAGGCGGAAUAUCAAGUCAGCGGUAAAAAUUCGGGGCUCAACCCCGUCGUGCCGUUGAAACUGGGGAUCUAGAGUGUGCGAGAGGUAUGCGGAAUGCGUGGUGUAGCGGUGAAAUGCAUAGAUAUCACGCAGAACCCCGAUUGCGAAGGCAGCGUACCGGCGCCAGACUGACGCUGAGGCACGAAAGCGUGGGGAUCGAACAGG
This 252-nucleotide ribosomal RNA is filed under the name uncultured Bacteroidales bacterium. RNAcentral describes it as "partial 16S ribosomal RNA". It matches the Rfam family "Bacterial small subunit ribosomal RNA", at positions 524 to 776 of the family's 1533-position model. Lineage: Bacteria; Pseudomonadati; Bacteroidota; Bacteroidia; Bacteroidales. The record is from RNAcentral.